CUCUCUGGUCUGAAUACUCUAGGUACCAGCCGGAGGGGGGUCCAUGCAUGAUGUCUACUUGUAUCCUGAUUUCUGAAUAAAACGCUAAUGAAUGUAACGUAAGAGUCUACCGCUGUCUUUCUUCCAGUGAGUGUCGUCCAGGUGGUGUGUCGCUGUCCAACUCCAACAAAUGGUAGCAGAGCGAUGGUUGUGAAAACCGGUCCAGAGACCUGAGGAGGACAGCACCUGAAGAUCCCUGACGGACCACUUGAUCUAAGACCCGCUCCGAGAAACUGAUCAAACCGCGCGGUGUCCAAAUAAGGAAUGGACUACAUCAAGCAGCACAUGGAAGAACCCUCCCUGCAGCUACGUGAUGCCACCAGGUCCAGUUCAUCUGAUGAAGAGGACUUCUUGUUCGUCAUCUCAAGCGCAUGACAGCAACAAACAGCUGGAUGGAGACUUGACCUGUUCAGCAGAUCACGUUGACUUGCUGAAAUGCUUCCCAACUGUGUGCAGGCUGUCUGUGAAGCUAGACACACUCUACCUGCACCAGGGCCUGUGGCCGUCUUCAGCCCCAGAAGAGCGAGACUGACAUCUGGCCAAUUUGAAAAUCAACUUCUUUUGAAGAUGAACAAGAAUUAGUUCAGUUUCAAGUGAUGAUUCUGGUUGUUACUUUUGGUGCUGCUUUUUUCUGUGUUAAUCAUGUUUUUAUAUUUUAGUAAUUUCAUUGCUAAAUUCAUCCUAGCUCAUACUCCUUGUUCAUGGCGGCCAAAACAAAUAAACUUCAAAAUUCUUA
Long non-coding RNA from Pseudoliparis swirei, 775 nucleotides. RefSeq lists it as uncharacterized. NCBI's taxonomy places the organism in Eukaryota, Metazoa, Chordata, Actinopteri, Perciformes, Liparidae. The transcript is spliced from 2 exons. The record is from RefSeq and is a predicted model, not a curated record.